GAUGAAGAACGCAGCGAAAUGCGAUACGUAAUGUGAAUUGCAGAAUUCAGUGAAUCAUCGAGUCUUUGAACGCACAUUGCGCCCCUUGGUAUCCCGAGGGGCAUGCCUGUUCGAGCGUCAUUUCACCACUCAAGCCUGGCUUGGUGUUGGGCGACGUCCUCUUUGGGGACGCGCCUCGAAACGCUCGGCGGCGUGGCACCGGCUUUAAGCGUAGCAGAAUCUUUCGCUUUGGAAGUCGGGGCCCCGUCUGCCGGAAGACCUGCUCGCAAGGUUGACCUCGGAUCAGGCAGGGAUACCCGCUGAACUUAAGCAUAUCAAUAGCGGAGGA
Molecule: unclassified non-coding RNA, 328 nt
Filed under: soil metagenome
Description: partial contains 5.8S ribosomal RNA, internal transcribed spacer 2, and large subunit ribosomal RNA
Rfam family: 5.8S ribosomal RNA (bases 1-120)
Source: RNAcentral